GCGCCAGACUCCUACGGGAGGCAGCAGUGGGGAAUAUUGCACAAUGGGGGAAACCCUGAUGCAGCGACGCCGCGUGAGUGAAGAAGUAAUUCGUUAUGUAAAGCUCUAUCAGCAGGGAAGAAAAUGACGGUACCUGAGUAGGAAGCCCCGGCUAACUACGUGCCAGCAGCCGCGGUAAUACGUAAGGGGCAAGCGUUAUCCGGAUUUACUGGGUGAAAAGGGGGCGCAGACGGCGAUGCAAGCCAGGAGUGAAGGCCGGGGCCCAACCCCGGGACUGCUCUUGGAACUGCGUGGCUGGAGUGCAGGAGGGGCAGGCGGAAUUCCUGGUGUAGCGGUGAAAUGCGUAGAUAUCAGGAGGAACACCGGUGGCGAAGGCGGCCUGCUGGACUGCAACUGACGUUGAGGCCCGAAAGCGUGGGGAGCAAACAGGAUUAGAUACCCCUGUA
This 446-nucleotide ribosomal RNA is filed under the name uncultured bacterium. Its description in RNAcentral is "bacterial SSU rRNA". It matches the Rfam family "Bacterial small subunit ribosomal RNA", at positions 328 to 792 of the family's 1533-position model. The record is from RNAcentral.